This 510-nucleotide ribosomal RNA is filed under the name uncultured bacterium. RNAcentral's name for it is "bacterial SSU rRNA". It matches the Rfam family "Bacterial small subunit ribosomal RNA", at positions 501 to 1009 of the family's 1533-position model. The record is from RNAcentral.
CUACGUGCCAGCAGCCGCGGUAAUACGUAGGUGGCGAGCGUUGUCCGGAUUUAUUGGGCGUAAAGGGAGUGUAGGCGGUCUUUUAAGUCUGAUGUGAAAGCCCACGGCUCAACCGUGGAGGGUCAUUGGAAACUGGGAGACUUGAGUGCAGAAGAGGAGAGCGGAAUUCCAUGUGUAGCGGUGAAAUGCGUAGAUAUAUGGAGGAACACCAGUGGCGAAGGCGGCUCUCUGGUCUGUAACUGACGCUGAGGCUCGAAAGCGUGGGGAGCAAACAGGAUUAGAUACCCUGGUAGUCCACGCCGUAAACGAUGAGUGCUAAGUGUUGGAGGGGUUCCACCCUUCAGUGCUGGAGUUAACGCAAUAAGUACCCCGCCUGGGGAGUACGACCGCAAGGUUGAAACUCAAAGGAAUUGACGGGGGCCCGCACAAGCGGUGGAGUAUGUGGUUUAAUUCGACGCAACGCGAAGAACCUUACCAGGUCUUGACAUUGAUGGACAGAACUAGAGAUAG